Molecule: long non-coding RNA, 5149 nt
Organism: Cavia porcellus (domestic guinea pig)
Lineage: Eukaryota; Metazoa; Chordata; Mammalia; Rodentia; Caviidae
Exons: 2
Source: RefSeq, a predicted model, not a curated record
GGGUGUAGUUCUGGUUCAGUCUCUGGCAGUUGGGAGGGGGUUUGAAAGGUGUCUCCAGUGCUUCCUGGCCUGUGCAGCGUGAUGGCUCUGGGGAAGUGGCUCCCUCCCUCCCUACCCCCUUGGGUGAAUGUUCUUAUUUCUUAGCCUUGCAUGUUCUUUCCAGCUGAAAACUACUGAAGGGUUGCAAAUCAGAGCCCCUUGAGUCCUGAGGAUGGCCACGAUGUGCGCUGGGCAGGGUAGCAAUUGCCACUCCUUUCAGAUGCUCCUCGAAGUGCCACCACAGUCCAGACCUUAGUUGACCUGAAGCCACCAUUCAACCCCAGGUCGUCACUUUUUGAGGGGGAGAGACACCUCAAAAGAAAGAUGGAACCAAGCAAGGGGCGCCCUACCAUGCACCACUCCCUCAUGAGCCCUUUUUCUUGCAGGGUCUGGCCAAUGUGCCCAGGCUGGCCUGGGACUUGCCCAAUCCAAACCUUGUGAGUAGCUGGGAUUCAAGGCUUGUUGUGCCUCAAUGCCAGGCCGCCUAGGAUGCUUUCUUAGUACUUCUGGCUAUUUGUUUCUUCCCAGCCUGGUAGGUCAGGGAAGCUCUUCUAGGACGGGUCAAAUAUGUUUUCAGUGCCUACAUUGCUUGACUUAACAGUAUGAUAAUUGCUUCUUGGUCUUUUGGCUAAGAUCAUGUAUGCUAUGAGUCUCAUUCUCAUGUAGUUUCUGGGUGGGACUCACAUAAAGCCACCAGUUACUGGGGGUAGGAGAGGAUGGGUGGCCACUCAGCAGAAGCUCUUGGGUUUGUUCAAACCCCGUGAUCCGAUCACACUUCGAGUUUUAUUUUGUGAGCAGUGGAGUGGUAGGAAACUAGUUGAUUCCGUAGCUGCCCAGCUAAGUUUCAUUAAGGUUUUUCAUCUUUGACUUGCUCCCUAAUAUAAUCUUCCUCAUCAUUCUUUCUCUGUUGAGACGUGUAGUACAGCUCUUCUCUCGCGCCAUGGCAAGCACGCUAUGUUCUAUGUUCCAUGAGCUUGAGCUCUCUAAGCCAUGUGUGUAAUAUUCUGUGACUCGUGUUUUUCACCUGACAUAAUUUCCUCAAGAUUCAUGGCUGUUGUAGUUGGUUUCAGAAUUUCCUUUCUUUUUAUGACUGAAUUGUACUCUGAUGUACUCAUUGCCACAUUCGUUUUUUGUCUUUGUGGUGCUGAGGCUCCAAUCCAGAUCUUGACCCAUGUUGAGUCAAGAGAUUAUUUGACUGGCCUUCAGGCCAAGCACAAGUCCACAUUUUGUUUAUCCAUUAGUCUUUGGGUGGACAUUUUGUUGUUUCUGUCAGUCAAGAUAUUGCAAACAGGGCCUGGGGAUUUAGCUCAGUGGCAUAAGCACCUGCCUUGCAAGCAGAUUGUGAGUUCCAUAUGUGGUACCGAUAAAAAGAGAGAGAGAGAGAUUGGAAACAAUACUGCUGUGAGCAUGAAUGUGUAUCUUUUGCCACUUCUGUGUGUGUGUGUGUGUGUGUAGUAGUACUAGUAGUAGUAAUAGUAGUGGGGAUUGAAACUAGGCCCUUGCUAAUGUUGGACCAGCCCUGUACUACCGAGCUAUCCUUGGGGCUACCUGAAGUUUAAUUUUGAAAUGGGAUCUUGUUAAGUUUCCCAGGCUGGCCUCAAAUUCUUGAUCCUCUGGUCUUGACAGGCUAAGUAGCUGGAAUUGUAGACGUGCAUCAUCUCGCCCAGCUUUUCAACUACUUUUCAUUUGGGCUUCUUUUGAGUACUUAUUCACCAUAGGUCUAUGCUUUUUAAGCAUCACAAACACUGGCUGAUGUGUAUUACACUUAGUGUAGACCAGGUGUUCUUCUCAGUUCAUUCUAGCAUCGGAAUCCAUAUUGUUAGCCAGGUGUGGCGGUUCAUGCCUAUAAUCUCAGCCUUCAGGAAGCUGAGACAGGAGGAUCGUUGCAAGUUUGAGACCAGCCUGGGCUACAAAGUGAGCUCAAGGGCAGCGUGAACCACUUAGUGAGACCCUCAAACAAAGAAAAAGACCAACAAAAAAUCCAUGCUGUUGAGCUAGGCAUGGUUGUGGGUCUGGAGUCCCUGGUACUUGGGAGACCAAAGGAAGAGGGCACUUUGAGCUGAGGAGUUGGAGAGUAGCCUGGGCAAGAGGACAUCCUGCCUCAACAAAACAAAUACAAAAUGAAACUAAACAAAAUCAUAGUCUUAGCCCUACUGGUGCCUUAUAUAUAUAUUCGGUUAUACAGACUGCAGCUAAAUCUGUGCAUUAUAAGUAUCCACUUUUCCAGAACUUUACUUUAUGAGUUUUACUGCUUUGGGAAGAUUUCUGAAUAUGACCUAGUCAAAUUUUGUGUUUAAUUCUGACUUGGGUAACAUGCUUAGAGAAUCCUAUCAAACAUAAUUUUUUAAUUUGCAUUUUUCUGCACGUGACUUAGAUUUACAUCUGAAUACAUUAUGUGAUUUUAAAAAAACCAGGAUGAUUUAACCUGAGCAAGGUUGAUGCGUGCACACGCACAUACUUAGGAAGUGUUUUUUCCUUCUUCCUACUGGAGAGCUAAUUUAGGCAACCUUCUGGAGUGAUCAAUCCUUUUUCCAUCUAUAUGAAAUGGUUUGUUUUUCAUAUGCUUUAUGUACUUUGGUCCUGCGGAUCUGAUAUAAAACCUCUUUGUGUGGCUGUGUCUCUUUUAUUUGUCUUGUGGUAAUGGGGCUUGAACCCAGGGCAUUUGUAAUGAGCUGUUUCCAGCCCUUUUUUAUUUUUAUUUCUUAGUUUGAGAUGAGUUCUCGCUAGGUGGCUGCGUUUUGUGUUCUGGGCGUGAACUCGAUACUCUUGCUGGCCCAGCCACCGAGAGUGCUGGGAUUACAGAGGUGGACCACCGCAUCUGUUCUUCUUCCAAUAUCCUACUAACUUUGGUUUAUGAAUAUUUGAGAUACUUAGCUGAAGGGUGCUGUGUGUUUGUUCAUAAAGGAGAAUGAUCAGUGGGAUCCUGCUUGGGGCAGUAGAGUUACUCCAUGAAUUAAGAUACUUUCCCAGUUUUCCUUUGCUAAGUAUGUUAGUAUUUAACAAAUAUGUUUCUCUGUCUGUAUCUGUGUCUGUAUCUCUGUUUCUUCCUUCCCGGCUGUGUGUCUCUGUGUAUGCAUACCUGUGCAGGUGUGGUACUACCAGAUGAACCCAGGGCCUUUGCACUGAGCUAUAUCCCAAGCCCUGUUUGGUAUUGUGUUUGUUGUUGUUGUUUUUAAUUUUAAAACAGUCUCACUGAGUGCCCAAGCUGUGCUCAAAUUUGUGAUCCCCCUUCCUCAGCCUCCAGAAUCCUAGGAUUAUGCUUAUGUGCCACCAUGUCCAGCUACUUAUGGUUUUCUAAUCAGAGGGAUGCUGUGGCAGCCUUCAAAGAUAUUAAGAUCUGCAGGGAAUCUCUGAGGAUAUCAGUUUUCUUAGUGAUUUGUGACAGGGUCUCGCUAAUUCAGGCUGCUCUUGAACUCAUGCUGCAGCCCAGGCUGGCCUCCAACUCAGGGUUGGAGGCCUCGGCUUCCUGAGUGCUGAGAUGAGAGGCAUGCACUAGCAUACCUGGCUAUUUUGUUCUUCUUUUGUUUUUUACUUUUUGAUUGUUUGGUUGGUUGGUGUUGAAACUUGUAAAAACCUCUAGACUCAUAAAAAUUCCCUGGAGCCAAAGAAGGUUCUAGAUAAUGCUGGAAACCAUGCAACAUGUAGAUCCUGGGAGGAUGUUUACCUAGUGUUGACUUGCUUGUUUACCUAAGCCUUGCUUGAACCCUGCUUCUUUUUGAGGAAUGUAAUCACCGUGUUCCUGGUCUGUAAUGGGCCAGUGAUACCCCCACAUUGUAAAACUGACAGAUGUUGUGGUUUCAUGAGAUAAAAACCCUGCCCCUUAGCUGUAAGGCUCACAGUCUUCCAUUUUGGCCCCAGAAGGCUGCAUCGCCAGGCCUGUGCUUUAAUAAAUAAUCUUUUUCCAAAUUGUUUUCUCUGGUGCCUGCUUACCUCAGGAAAUGGGCUACCACAAUUGGGGGCUCAUCCGGGAUGAAAUAACAGCCCACUGACUCAAUUCCUGAGGACUGAUUCCCUAUAAAGACGCCUUUGACCUGAGAGGUCACAUGUUCCCGUAGGCUGACUGCCAUGUGUUUGGUCACUCUGAAGGUGCUGACAGUAUUCUUUUAAACCCCAGAUGACCCCCUGAUCAAGCAAAGAGAAUCCUGAGCUCUGUGAUUCUCUCCCUAUUGUUCUGUCUCUUCCUGUAUUCACUGAUAUUUACUCUUGAUUUUCUCUUCUCACAGGGAACCACAGCAGGCAAAAAUGGGACAGUCUGCCAUAAAAAUUGCUCCGUGUCACACCCCUUAGCCAACACGCUUCAGAAGAAUUGUAACCAACAAAGAAGAAAACUGGGGCCUCCUGGAAGAAGCAAAAAAGAUGGGAAGAUGAAGCAAUAACAAAAAGCCCCAGGCCCCAACCCUGAGAACACUGACCCAGGACAGGUAAAUACAAAAGAGAAUGAAAACAGCAAACAUGCUAUAUCAGACACAGCACCAGUGGACAUAAAGAGAUAUAUUUGGGACCUCAUAGAUGAGUUCAAAAGUGAAACAUUUAGCCAAAUAAAGCUAGAUAUAAGAAGAUUAAUAAAAGAGAUACCCAGCACCCCUCAAGCAGACACAGACAGAAGAAGGGAGGAACUCAAACACAGGAGAGAACCAUUUGGUGAAGAAUAUGAAAAAAAUAUAGAAUACAUGAAGCAGAUUCAAAGAGAUCACCAGGAAAUUAAAAACUCUAUGGAAAGAUGACAAAUCAGCUUGAAAGAAACUACGGAUAGAUUAUCCAAACUGGAGGACAAUUUUCCAAUGUGGGAGUAUGAAAGGGAAAACUUUUAAAAUAACAAGAAAACAAGCAGUCACAAUACAAAGGCUAGAAGAUGACAGAAGGAUCUAUAACUUGAGAAUAAAGAAUGUAAGUGAAGAAUCUGGGAUACAAACAAAGGAAUUACAAAGGUUAUUCACAGAAUUAAUUAAGGAACACUUCCCAAACAUAAGAAAAGGAAAUGAUAUUCUGAUAUAUGAGGCAUACAGAACUCCAGCCACCUACAACCAAAACAGAGCUACAUCCAGGCAUAUAAUAAUCAAGAUCCCAGAAAUUCAAUAUAAGAACAGAAUAUUAAAAGCUGUUACCCGUU